AACUUUCAACAACGGAUCUCUUGGUUCUGGCAUCGAUGAAGAACGCAGCGAAAUGCGAUAAGUAGUGUGAAUUGCAGAAUUCAGUGAAUCAUCGAAUCUUUGAACGCACAUUGCGCCCUUUGGUAUUCCAAAGGGCAUGCCUGUUCGAGCGUCAUUUGUACCCUCAAGC
RNAcentral lists this ribosomal RNA (169 nucleotides) under Alternaria oxytropis. RNAcentral's name for it is "5.8S ribosomal RNA". It matches the Rfam family "5.8S ribosomal RNA". Rfam says of the family: 5.8S ribosomal RNA (5.8S rRNA) is a component of the large subunit of the eukaryotic ribosome. It is transcribed by RNA polymerase I as part of the 45S precursor that also contains 18S and 28S rRNA. Lineage: Eukaryota; Fungi; Ascomycota; Dothideomycetes; Pleosporales; Pleosporaceae. The record is from RNAcentral.